RNAcentral lists this ribosomal RNA (430 nucleotides) under Pseudomonadota bacterium. RNAcentral describes it as "Proteobacteria bacterium partial 16S ribosomal RNA". It matches the Rfam family "Bacterial small subunit ribosomal RNA", at positions 355 to 776 of the family's 1533-position model. The record is from RNAcentral. Lineage: Bacteria; Pseudomonadati; Pseudomonadota.
UGGGGAAUAUUGGACAAUGGGCGGAAGCCUGAUCCAGCCAUGCCGCGUGUGUGAAGAAGGCCUUUUGGUUGUAAAGCACUUUGAGCGAGGAGGAGGCUCUUCUAGUUAAUACCUAGGAUGAGUGGACGUUACUCGCAGAAUAAGCACCGGCUAACUCUGUGCCAGCAGCCGCGGUAAUACAGAGGGUGCGAGCGUUAAUCGGAUUUACUGGGCGUAAAGCGUGCGUAGGCGGCUGAUUAAGUCGGAUGUGAAAUCCCUGAGCUUAACUUAGGAAUUGCAUUCGAUACUGGUCAGCUAGAGUAUGGGAGAGGAUGGUAGAAUUCCAGGUGUAGCGGUGAAAUGCGUAGAGAUCUGGAGGAAUACCGAUGGCGAAGGCAGCCAUCUGGCCUAACACUGACGCUGAGGUACGAAAGCAUGGGGAGCAAACAGG